AAUAUCUACCUCUCUUGGGAACUUCAAAGCAUCUGCUGUCUGACCUGAGUCUUUCUAAGCAGGAGGGUAUACACAUGAAGACUUAAACAUAAAAGAAAUGGCCUGUGCUGAGCAACAGAGAAAGCUGUAUCAGAGAUAAAACCAAACAGUAAGCUUCCUGUGGCACAGCUCCAGUGGAAGAAGACAAAGCACCACCUCGUUACUGCAAGGUGGAGACAGAAGUCCAAGAGAGAUUCUUUGUUACCACCUGGCAUGGAUGGGAAUCUAGGCACUCCCUGAUGGAGAGAAGGACUGCCUCAUGAUGCUCACCAUGUAACCUACAAUAGCACCAUGGAAGGGGGAUGUGGACGUCUGUUAUCACUGGGUGGUGGUGAAAGCCCUGACUCUAUUGGCCACUUUGGACACAAUGCCAGUGGGGAGGGGGAAGAAUGCCUCAUUGCUGCCCUCUGUAGGUAGAAAUCCAGGCUACCCACUUUGCUUUUUGAUAGUGGGGACAGGCGGUGGGGGGAGUGGAGAUGGGGCCACAGAUUUCUUUCUGUGGUAUUCAGCAGAAAUAUAGAGCAGUUAUUGCCAA
This is a long non-coding RNA of Macaca mulatta (Rhesus monkey), 574 nucleotides long. RefSeq lists it as uncharacterized. The record is from RefSeq and is a predicted model, not a curated record. Lineage: Eukaryota; Metazoa; Chordata; Mammalia; Primates; Cercopithecidae.